This 295-nucleotide ribosomal RNA is filed under the name uncultured Lactobacillus sp. RNAcentral describes it as "partial 16S ribosomal RNA". It matches the Rfam family "Bacterial small subunit ribosomal RNA", at positions 399 to 687 of the family's 1533-position model. Lineage: Bacteria; Bacillati; Bacillota; Bacilli; Lactobacillales; Lactobacillaceae. The record is from RNAcentral.
GCGKGAGUGKGAGSGSUUUCRGCUCGUWAAACUCUGUUGUUGGAGAAGAACAGGMGUGAGAGUAACUGUUCACAUCUUGACGGUAUCCAACCAGAAAGCCACGGCUAACUACGUGCCAGCAGCCGCGGUAAUACGUAGGUGGCAAGCGUUGUCCGGAUUUAUUGGGCGUAAAGCGAGCGCAGGCGGUUUCUUAGGUCUGAUGUGAAAGCCUUCGGCUUAACCGGAGAAGUGCAUCGGAAACCAGGARACUUGAGUGCAGAAGAGGACAGUGGAACUCCAUGUGUAGCGGUGAAAU